RNAcentral lists this ribosomal RNA (174 nucleotides) under uncultured bacterium. RNAcentral's name for it is "partial 16S ribosomal RNA". It matches the Rfam family "Bacterial small subunit ribosomal RNA", at positions 338 to 524 of the family's 1533-position model. The record is from RNAcentral.
CCUACGGGAGGCAGCAGUGGGGAAUUUUCCGCAAUGGGCGAAAGCCUGACGGAGUGACGCCGCGUGCGGGACGAAGGCCUUCGGGUUGUAAACCGCUUUCAGCAGGGACGAAGCGAAAGUGACGGUACCUGCAGAAGAAGCGCCGGCUAACUACGUGCCAGCAGCCGCGGUAAU